GAGGUUUAGAGUCGAUUUAGGAUGUUAUAUGAAGACAGUGGUGGAUGAAUUCGUUAAAUUAGGAGUCAAGGAGCUUUAAGAAACCAUUGGCUAAGAGAAAUGUUAACACAGAGAGUUCAAAGAGUAAGAGAACCAACAUCAAGCUGAGCCAAAUCCACCAUUGUUUCAUGUUUUUAGUCAUCUCGAAUUAAGAAGGAACAUAAAAUAGUCUUUGUUUUUUCAGCAAAACAUAAAUUUCUCAUGGUCUCUAUAAUUCUCGGACAAUCAAAAUUGUAUUACACAACAUAAUCCUAGGAUCGAACUACUAAUAAGCAAAACAAGUGGUUUGAACCAAACUUAUCCGAUUUAGAAGGAUUUGUUUUGAAGUAAAACAACAGUUUCCCAUGGUCUCUGUAAUUUUCAGACAAGCAAAAUUUUAUUACACAAUUUAAUCAUAGGAUCGAAGCUGUAAAAGUUUGAACUAAGAGAGCUUAAUGGAGCAAACUUCAGAAGAAGUUACUCCUCCAAAAAUAGGUGUAUGCCAUUGGGCGUGGAGAGCACACGGUAUUCUUUAGUAAAAGGCGAAAGAUUAGUUCGCUUUGAGCUCACCACACGGCUCCAUGAGUUCAGAAGCUAAGCACCGAAUGAGUUAUUUAUAUGUGAAUCCUUCGACGACUAGUUUUGGUUUUGUUCGAUGUGGGACAAAUAUUUUAUAUAUGACAGUGCAAAACUCUUCACUUAGUAGGCCUUUUCUAUUUCAUAUUAAACUCCCUUUCUGAGUUAUAUCAUUUAUUUACUCUCUUUUUCUUAACAGAUUGGCUUAAUUAAGAGACUACCAAUAAGGAUGGUGUUACUCGUUUACUAUUUUUUUUUUCUUAGCAACUUCGAUGAAAGAUACGAGAGUAAAAUAAUAUUUUUCAUCGAAAGAAGGUAGCAUUUGAACCGAAUCAUGACGUAAAAAUAAAUUUUGAAUUUUAGUGUAGUCAGCCUAAAAAAUUCGAUGACUAGUGUUAUCUCAAAAUUAGAUAAAAUCAUCCAAUUUCCUUUGAUAAGAACCGGUUAAAAGCGUUUGACCUAUUUUAUCUUAUUAGAAUAUAUUAAAAUAUGUAAUUAUCCAAUUUUACUAUAUUUCUUAUAUUUAUUGAUGGAUGAUAUUUUCUUUUUAAUAUCUUUGGUUCUUAGGAAAUAUUCUAUACGAUGAAAUCCUUCCAAGGACUCGACACUCUAAGAUGGUGAAAAGAUAUUCCCUAGGUUCAACAUACGGUAAAGCUACAAAGAACAAGGAUGGUGGAGCGAAUGGUCGCACAAGAGCUCCGGAAGACCACAAGAGCUCUGGAAGUCUAUUGAUUUACCGAACUUAAAUCUCUUAUAUAUGACACACUAAGACAAAUUCAAUGGUGACAAUGAGAAUCACUCUCGACAAAAACCCUGGAUAUGACAUACCAAGACGGAUCAUGCAUUGAUCAACAGAUAGUACACACCAUUAACCAAACCAGUGGAUAUUACACACCAUUGACGAAAAAUGAUAAACUCUCAAAAAGUUCCAAAAAUAUCAAAAAAACUUAUUCUUAUUAUUCAUGAGAUAACCUCAUUAUAUAGAGAGAAAAUACAUCAAAAACAACCAUAAUAAUAACUCAACAUGCAGAGCAUCUAGGGAGAUUAAAUUCAAACUCUAAAGUGCAUGUAAGAGAGAGAAAUCGAAAGAAUUAAAUGAUGUUUUGUUAUGGACGAAAAUUGAUCUUCCUUCCUUCUUUUUGGGCUGAAUCCACUUAAUUGGGAUUUUCUCAUGGACCAAGAUUGUAGAACAACUUGGUUUGUAACUCAAUUCAUUCUGGCCCGUUUGAAAUCUUUCGUUGAAUGGACGCAUAUAUAAAUUAGGUAAAUUGGAGAACACCUGAUUUGUAAAAUCAAUAACUCAUUCGUCUCAACUCCGUUUUUACUUGAUUCUCCUUUGAGGAGUUCUGUAGUUGAGCUGAGCAUCUUCUCCAAGUCAUUUCGUGCAUAGAUUCCUCGUGGCUGAGAAUAUACGCUUUGAACAAUGGCGACAUGUUUUGAAGGUUCCUAUGAUCAUAUCACCAUAUCAACAAACAUCAAUACAAUAUUUUAAUUUAGUAACAAACUUAUAAAUGUGAAAUACAUUUUUCAUUGUAAAUAAUUUUAAAUUGUAAACCAUUACUUUAUUGAUUUUAAAUGAUAUUUUUUUUUUGUUCUUAAUAUUUUUGAUCUACAAGCAUAUUAAAAGUUUUAGAAUUAAAGUCCUAAAUUAAUUAACAUCUAGAAAAACUGCUGACCAAAAUAGUAAAUGUAUAUAGUCACUUCAUUUAUAAAAUAGGAAAAUUAUUAAAACAAGAUAUAGAACUAAUAUUUUUACUUCUUAGGAAGGAAGUGGACUAAUUGUUUACAAAAGUGUUAAAAGCAGUUGACAAGUCUUCACUAUAAUAUUCGGGUGAGAAUGUGAAGAGACCCAAUCUUUAUUUAUUCCUUAAUCCCUUCUUUCCUGUAAUCUCCGGACGAAUAAAGAAUCAAUGGAUCAUUACCAAAAAAACAAAGAAUCAAUGGAUCUCGCUUCUGGUUCGAGGACUCGGAGAAACUCAUCAAAGGUUCGAUUUUUUAUGUUUAACAGUUGGAUCAGACUGCAUGUGUUGGUACUUGUUCGUUAGAUUUGUAGUCUCACUAGGCGAUUUUUUCGCCCACUUAAUCCCAUUUUUGUAUCUUAGCUAUUAUGAAGUUGGAAAUGGAGUAAGGUAGAAAACUUUUUAUCAAAAAUGUUUAGAGUGAAAAAUAGAUUAGGGUUGAAGAUGUGUUUAGGGUUUCAUCAAUGGGUUUUGGUGUUUUAGGGUUUAUGUUCUGAAUUCGGGUUUAUAAGUGUUUUUAGGGUUUAUGUUCUGAAUUCGGGUUUAUGAGUGUUUUUAGGGUUAUGUCUUGAAUUUUGUUUUGUUUACUCAUGUUUACUAUGCUUCUACUGUUUCUCUUUACCUUCGGAUUGAUAUGUUUUUUUAUUUAUUUGUUCUUGAUAAGUCUUAUUAUUAGUCAUAUUGAUUGUGUUCAUACAGUUUCGUAUGAACUGAUAUGUUUUAAAUGAUGUGAAAUCAAUAUCUUACAUAUAGAUUGUGUGUUCGGUUUUUUUUUUUCGUGUCAAUGUUCUAAGUUGUAAUUUGUUUAUUGUAGUUGAUUGUAUAACGUUUGCUGCUUUAUCUUGUCGUCGUAGGCUGCAACUUCUCCUGAAGUAAUUGAUGUGGAAGAAUACGAAAUCCGCAAUGGUGGUUUUCUUAAAAAUAACAACAAUAAUGUCUUCGAUAAGAAGAACAAAGGAAAGGCUAUAAAAGAAGAAGAUGUCUCCUUUUAUGAUCAUUUUUACUCAUUUAGUCAUCUAGCUAAUGAAGUUGUGCCGAUGGAGCUUGAAGACUACGCAAUGUUUCAAGCCAUUCUAAAUUCUCAGGAUAUUCCAACUGAUGUAGAAGUGGUGAUGAUGCCUAGUGGAGCACAGAUGACUCCUGAUUUAGUGAUGGUUCCAUCUCCUCCUCCUUUGAGACCCUCUAAAUUUGAUGCUUCUGCUAGCUCUUCUCGCCCUCUAGUGGCGGUGCCUGAGGUUAUUUCUUCACCUCAGAUUAAGUUUCUGCGGGAUUUUAAAAGAUUCGACACUGUUGAUGAUUUCUCGGAUCAUCUAUAUGCUUCCUAUGCUUCAAACCAGGUGAAUCGAUCGAGGAUUAAAUUUUAUCAUCUCCGAGUUUGUUUCUUUAAUCUUUCUUUGAUAUUUAAACUUUAAGCUGCCUCUCUCUUUUAUCUUGUUCAGCAUACAAAGGGUUGGUCGAAAAAGAUUCAAUCAGAAUGGAAGAUUCUUGAGAAUGAUUUGCCAGGUUAGUAAAGUCCAAUGCUUGCAACAUAUCUAAUAACUAUAUGUUCUUAUUUAUUUUCAAUUUCUUUGCAAUCAGAAACUAUAUUUGUCCGAGCCUGUGAAUCAAGAAUGAACCUAUUAAGAGCUGUAAUUAUUGGACCCGAGGGAACUCCUUACCAUGACGGUCUUUUCUUUUUCGAUAUUCAGUUCUCAAAUUCCUAUCCUUCAGUGCCACCAGUAUGUCUCACUUUCUUGAUAUAUAAGUUAUGUUAUUAUUCGUUUUCUUGGUAACCUUUACGACUCUGUAAAUUUUCUGACAGAAAGUUCAAUACCAUUCCGGUGGGCAUCGAAUCAACCCGAAUCUGUACUGUAAUGGUUACGUAUGCUUGAGUCUUCUCGGUACCUGGGCUGGUACCGCGAGGGAGAGUUGGAUCCCAACAGAGUCGACAAUCUUACAGCUUCUUGUCUCAAUCCAAGCACUCAUCUUGAAUCAAAAACCAUACUUUAAUGAACCUGGCUUUGCACCGACCAUGGGGACUCAAUCAGGCGAGGCUCGUUCGGAAACUUACAGUGAGGAAGUAUUCAUACUGUCGUUAAAGACGAUGGUUAACAGUAUGAGAAAACCACCCAAGGUAAUAACUUGUCAAAACACUUUAGCUGAUUUUUCUUGCAAAAACAUUUUGGGGGUUAAAACUGUUUGGUUGUGAUGAAUGCGCAGCAUUUUGAAGAGUUUGUUCGUAGUCAUUACUUCGUGCGGGCUCACGACAUUGUGAAGGCGUGUAAUGCUUAUAAAGAUGGAGCACCUGUUGGAUGGAUGGGUAAAGAAACUAGCAAGAGCGGCUCCAAGAAGUUUAGAGUCGAUUUAGGAUGUUAUAUGAAGACAGUGGUGGAUGAAUUCGUUAAAUUAGGAGUCAAGGAGCUUUAAGAAACCAUUGGCUAAGAGAAAUGUUAAC
This 4767-nucleotide long non-coding RNA is filed under the name Capsella rubella. RNAcentral's name for it is "long non-coding RNA (CRUB_LNC003763)". Lineage: Eukaryota; Viridiplantae; Streptophyta; Magnoliopsida; Brassicales; Brassicaceae. The record is from RNAcentral.